CCUACGGGUGGCUGCAGUGGGGAAUUUUGGACAAUGGGCGAAAGCCUGAUCCAGCCAUGCCGCGUGCGGGAAGAAGGCCUUCGGGUUGUAAACCGCUUUAGUCCGGGAAAAAGGGGUGCGAGGAUAAUACCCUUGUGCUUUGAUGGUACUGGAAGAAUAAGCACCGGCUAACUACGUGCCAGCAGCCGCGGUAAUACGUAGGGUGCGAGCGUUAAUCGGAAUUACUGGGCGUAAAGCGUGCGCAGGCGGUCUUGUAAGACAGUCGUGAAAGCCCC
Molecule: ribosomal RNA, 275 nt
Filed under: uncultured bacterium
Lineage: Bacteria
Description: partial 16S ribosomal RNA
Rfam family: Bacterial small subunit ribosomal RNA
Source: RNAcentral